Molecule: unclassified non-coding RNA, 340 nt
Filed under: fungal sp.
Lineage: Eukaryota; Fungi
Description: partial internal transcribed spacer region
Rfam family: Eukaryotic small subunit ribosomal RNA (bases 1-46)
Source: RNAcentral
AAGUCGUAACAAGGUUUCCGUAGGUGAACCUGCGGAAGGAUCAUUAACACGUAUCCAACGUUAAACCCCCCUGUGAACUUUUAUACUUGCUCUCUUAACUGACGGAAUUGCAAUCCCUGGUAAAUCAUUGUUGAACAGAUUUUGAUUCAGGGACCUCAGUUUGACAGUUAGGAUUGAGCGAUCGUUGCAAGUGGCCUGGUUUCCCCAAGCAGUCAGUGUCUGAAAGUGGCAUUGAUUGUGUAAUCGGCCCCCUAUAUUAACCCCACUACCUGAUUCCGCCUCGUAGGAAACUGCUGGGCAACAAAACGAACAACUGUUAACAAUGGAUAUCUUGGUUCUC